This 253-nucleotide ribosomal RNA is filed under the name uncultured bacterium. RNAcentral describes it as "partial 16S ribosomal RNA". It matches the Rfam family "Bacterial small subunit ribosomal RNA", at positions 524 to 776 of the family's 1533-position model. The record is from RNAcentral.
UACGUAGGGGGCAAGCGUUGUCCGGAAUUAUUGGGCGUAAAGAGCUCGUAGGCGGCUUGUCACGUCGAUUGUGAAAGCCCGAGGCUUAACCUCGGGUCUGCAGUCGAUACGGGCUAGCUAGAGUGUGGUAGGGGAGAUCGGAAUUCCUGGUGUAGCGGUGGAAUGCGCAGAUAUCAGGAAGAACACCAACGGCGAAGGCAGCUCGCUAGGACGGUACUGACGCUGAGACGCGAAAGCGUGGGGAGCGAACAGG